Molecule: ribosomal RNA, 439 nt
Filed under: Clostridioides difficile
Lineage: Bacteria; Bacillati; Bacillota; Clostridia; Peptostreptococcales; Peptostreptococcaceae
Description: bacterial LSU rRNA
Rfam family: Bacterial large subunit ribosomal RNA
Source: RNAcentral
AAAGUCUCUAUCGAGGUUAAAGGUACCCGUACCGCAUACCGACACAGUUGGGUGAGUAGAGUAUCCGAAGGCCAGCGAGUGAACUGUUGUUAGGGAACUCGGCAAAAUGACCCCGUAACUUAGGGAUAAGGGGUGCCAAGAUUAGGUGGCCGCAGAGAAUAGGCCCAAGCGACUGUUUACCAAAAACAUAGGUUUCUGCUAAGUCGCAAGACGAUGUAUAGGAGCUGACGCCUGCACGGUGCUGGAAGGUUAAGGGGAUCUGUUAGAGUAAUCGAAGCAGUGAACUUAAGCCCCAGUAAACGGCGGCCGUAACUAUAACGGUCCUAAGGUAGCGAAAUUCCUUGUCGGGUAAGUUACGACCCGCACGAAAGGCGUAACGAUUUGGGCACUGUCGCAACAACAGAAUCGGUGAAAUUGGAAUUCUGGGGAUGAUGCAGGG